AGUGGAUGGGGAGCAACCUAGUUGUGCGUGUGUAAAGGUAGUGCCAAGAAAAGCGAUGAUCAUGUUGAAAAUCAAUUCCCGGUACCCGAAACCGACACAGGUGGGCAAGUAGAGAAUACUAAGGGGCGCGAGGUAACUCUCUCCAAGGAACUCGGCAAAAUGACCCCGUAACUUAGGGAGAAGGGGUGCCACCGAGAGGUGGUCGCAGUGAAGAGGCCCAGGCGACUGUUUAGCAAAAACAUAGGUCUCUGCAAACUCGAAAGAGGAGGUAUAGGGGCUGACGCCUGCCCAGUGCCGGAAGGUUAAAGAAGUUGGUCAGUCUUAGGAUGAAGCUAGCGACUGAAGCCCCGGUGAACGGCGGCCGUAACUAUAACGGUCCUAAGGUAGCGAAAUUCCUUGUCGGGUAAGUUCCGACCCGCACGAAAGGCGUAACGAUCUGGGCGCUGUCUCGGAGAGAGGCUCGGCGAAAUAGGAUUGUCUGUGAAGAUACGGACUACCUGCAUUUGGACAGAAAGACCCUAUGAAGCUUUACUAUAGCUUGGAAUUGUGUUCGGGCUUCCUGUGCGCAGGAUAGGUGGGAGGCGUAGAAGGUAUUCUUGUGGGGAUACUGGAGCCGACGGUGAGAUACCACUCUCAGGAGGCUAGAAUUCUAACUUAAUUAAGGACAGUUUCAGGUGGGUAGUUUGACUGGGGCGGUCGCCUCCAAAAAGGUAACGGAGGCGUACAAAGGUUCCCUCAGACUGGUUGGAAAUCAGUCGAAGAGUGCAAAGGCAGAAGGGAGCUUGACUGCGAGAAGUACAGUUCGAGCAGGGUGGAAACACGGUCUUAGUGAUCCGACGGUGCUGUGUGGAAGGGCCGUCGCUCAACGGAUAAAAGUUACUCUAGGAUAACAGGCUGAUCUCCCCCAAGAGUUCACAUCGACGGGGAGGUUUGGCACCUCGAUGUCGGCUCAUCGCAACCUGGGGCGGAAGUACGUCCCAAGGGUUGGGCUUUUCGCCCAUUAAAGCGGUACGUGAGCUGGGUUCAGAACGUCGUGAGACAGUUCGGUCCAUAUCCGAUGUAGGCGUGAGAAUAUUGAGAGGAGCCUUCCUUAGUACGAGAGGACCGGGAAGGACGCACCGCUGGUGUACCUGUUAUGAUGCCAAUUGUAAACGCAGGGUAGCCAAGUGCGGAGAGGAUAACCGCUGAAAGCAUCUAAGUGGGAAGCCCACCUCAAGAUGAGUAUUCUGGUGUAAGGUCACGGGAAGACGACCCGUAAAUAGGCACGAGGUGGAAGUGCAGAGAUGUAUGAAGCCGAAGUGUACUAGUAGACCGUCGGCUUGACC
RNAcentral lists this ribosomal RNA (1325 nucleotides) under metagenome. RNAcentral describes it as "bacterial LSU rRNA". It matches the Rfam family "Bacterial large subunit ribosomal RNA", at positions 1561 to 2925 of the family's 2925-position model. The record is from RNAcentral.